GCCCGCCUAGCUCAAUCGGAUAGAGCGUCAGACUCUUACUUGACUAGGACGAGGGCAUCUGAAGGCUGCGAGUUCGACCCUCGCGGUGGGCU
Non-coding RNA from Cubamyces sp. BRFM 1775, 92 nucleotides. The record is from the annotation of a GenBank genome assembly. Lineage: Eukaryota; Fungi; Basidiomycota; Agaricomycetes; Polyporales; Polyporaceae.